UGAUAUCGUUGAUGACAUUUCGGUCUCCUGCGUAGCAUCAUCAAAUUUUCUUAAUUGUGACACUCCAGAGCAAUCUUUAUGACCUUGUUUGAUGACCUCACAGUUUAAACAAGAUCUCGUGAUGCACCAUAGGAUUUGAAUGAAACACUAUCCUUGGAUAGUUUAUUUGCAGCGUUGUAAACAACAGCAGAGUCGGAGUGUGUUGUGAAAAUAUUCUACGUAAUUACAGCUAUAUAACUUACGACGUUGGAAAUGAAAGUUCUCUGGGGAAUUUUGUGGAUUAUAUUGUUGCUGUUUAUUGGUUGGCCAAUAGGAUUCUUCUGCGCUGGAUGGUAUGUUUGUCUAUCACCUUUUGAGUCAUGUCUCAUAAUUUGCAAAGACAUAUCGGAGUUCCUGAUGAAAGGUGUAAAGCUGCCGUUGGAAAUCGCCAGGCAUGCGGCUGCAGGAGCUAGUUCGUGGUAGAUUUACUAUGACCAAUGAAAACCAUUUUUAUGUAAUUUUUACAUGCUGUUUUGAUAUUAGUUGAACACGUGCUUCGUAGCUAAACUGCUACAGAUGCUUAUUAUUUCCUAUAAAAUACUUAAAUGAUUAUUUUGUUAACUCAAUUCCGACUGCAUAUUUUGAAAAAAAUAUUCAAAGAUGAUGUGUAUUAAAUAUCACCGUUAGAAA
This is a long non-coding RNA of Xenia sp. Carnegie-2017, 669 nucleotides long. RefSeq lists it as uncharacterized. The record is from RefSeq and is a predicted model, not a curated record. Lineage: Eukaryota; Metazoa; Cnidaria; Anthozoa; Malacalcyonacea; Xeniidae. The transcript is spliced from 2 exons.